AAAAUUAGUUAAAUAUAUAACAUAGGUUUGUCAAGCCUAAAUUAUCAUCAUUGAUAUUUUA
RNAcentral lists this transfer RNA (61 nucleotides) under Plesionika izumiae. RNAcentral's name for it is "tRNA-Asp". Lineage: Eukaryota; Metazoa; Arthropoda; Malacostraca; Decapoda; Pandalidae. The record is from RNAcentral.